UCACACUUGAUACACACUAAUCAUGGCUUUAUUUCAAUUAAUUUCAAUUAACACAGAGAAAAAUUAAAAAAGGGAAGAGGAUUAGGGUUUACGUGUGACCCUUGGACCUGUUGUUCUCAGACUCUCUCCUGCUCCUCAUGGACGAACGGCGUGGCGGUCGGAACAGCCUCCCUCUCCGGUGAGGUUUCAAUCGACGCCGUAAACCACCCGAAUCUCAUCAUCGGACCUGACACUCUCAUCUCUCUCCUCACGCAUCAGACGCAGCAGAGAAAAUGGAGAGCUCCACCUUUUCCGAUGAAGAGCAAAUCUCCGACCACCAUCACUUUCGAAUCAAGUCCCUCACCCUCUCCGUCUCAAACUCAAACUCUCUCGUCUCUCAAUCAAGCUCUCCGUCUCAAACUCGAACUCUCUCGAUCUCUUCUGUUAAGUUUUUUAUUCUUCUGAGUUGUUGUUCGUGAUUGUGGUGUGAUAUAUCGUUAUUCAAGCAGGUUGAAGAUUGAUGGAAGGUGUAAAGAAUCGCAAAUGAAUUUGAUUGAAUAAGCGAGUUUCUGGAGAUUGAAGGUUCAUCGAUGAGGAUGGGCGGGACAAAGGUUAGACUCGGUGAUUGACGAAGAAUGAUGGAUGGAUCGUGAAUUGUUGCUGCAGAUGCAGAUUAGUUUUCUGCAGGUUCUUGGAUGAAGAACCGAAUUGAAGUGUGAAGAAGGAACUGAAUGAAUAUAACGUGAGUUUUCUGUUUAGUGUGGAGUUGAAUGUUAUGAGGAAGAUGAAUGAAGAUGAAGAUGCCAUAGAUACAGAGAUGAUGAAGAUGAUGAAGGUGAGGACCGGUGGAGAGAGAGUUCAUUACAAGGGAGAAGAUUGAAGAUUGAAGAAGAUCAAGAUUUCGAUGAAUGGACAUGAAGAAGAUUUCGGUUAGAGGUAUGAAGAGAGCUUCAAUCGAUCCCCAGAAAGUUUGUUACAGGUUGUUACAUAUUUUUUCCUUUUUCCAUUCCGUCCUCCCUCCUUCUCUUUUUAUUCUGUUCUCUCUUUUCUGUGAUUCUGUUAUAUUCCUCCUCCCAAUUGAAAUUUUGUGUCUUGGUUUUUGAUUGCAUAAGUGAACUGUUUUAUUGUGAUGCUGCAGCCCGGUUUCAAUUGUGCACAGUCCUAUUUUAGGACUAUGCGGGUCCUUUGGUUUAGAUGUCGACUGAACCAGUUUUCUAUUCAUGUUGCGUUGCGCUGCUAUUUUGACUGUUUUUGCAGGGAGCUUUCGGUUCAUUUGAUUGUGUGAAGGUUGUGGCGUGGAGCAAAAUGGAUCAUGGCGGGAGAUCAUAAGAACUUGAAGAUUACGAGGGCCUUAACAUAGGUUUAGGCUCAGGAAUUAUGACUUUCAUGAAACUUUAUGUAAUAUUGAAUGUAAUAAAACCUUUAGUACCUUGUAACCCUUGUGAGGGCUUUGUUCCAAACCUGUGCAUUUGUAAUACUUUACGCCUUAUGAACACGUGUAACAAGUGUAUAGCUUUGAUAACAUUCAAGAAGAUUUUUGAAGUUUUUGAA
This is a long non-coding RNA of Vicia villosa (hairy vetch), 1530 nucleotides long. RefSeq lists it as uncharacterized. The record is from RefSeq and is a predicted model, not a curated record. Lineage: Eukaryota; Viridiplantae; Streptophyta; Magnoliopsida; Fabales; Fabaceae. The transcript is spliced from 3 exons.